This is a long non-coding RNA of Xenia sp. Carnegie-2017, 309 nucleotides long. RefSeq lists it as uncharacterized. NCBI's taxonomy places the organism in Eukaryota, Metazoa, Cnidaria, Anthozoa, Malacalcyonacea, Xeniidae. The transcript is spliced from 2 exons. The record is from RefSeq and is a predicted model, not a curated record.
UUUGAAUUUCAAACAUCAGUCGCGCGACGGAUUUGACAUACUCUAGAUCCGCCCCUGACGUCGUCCUACAUCGAGUGUGGAAUUUUUCACAAAAAAAGUUUUAAACAAGGCAAGAAAAUGGCAGAACAGUUUUCAUCAGCAUCAAAUGAUUGCUCAUCAAGCACACCACUAAAUUCAUCGUGAUUUAAAUUAAUUGUUUAGCUAAAUUAACAUCCAGUGGCUUUGAAAUUUGUCUUACUUUGUAAUAACGGUUUGUGUUCCCUUUUAUGUUUGCAUAAAAAUACUAUACAACGGCUACUGAUAUAUCAA